CCUACGGGCGGCAGCAGUGGGGAAUAUUGGGCAAUGGGCGCAAGCCUGACCCAGCAACGCCGCGUGAAGGAAGAAGGCUUUCGGGUUGUAAACUUCUUUUCUCAGGGACGAAACAAGUGACGGUACCUGAGGAAUAUGCCACGGCUAACUACGUGCCAGCAGCCGCGGUAAUACGGAGGUGGCAAGCGUUAUUCGGAUUUAUUGGGUGUAAAGGGCGUGUAGGCGGGAAAGCAAGUCAGAUGUGAAAACCAUGGGCUCAACCUGUGGCCUGCAUCUGAAACUGUUUUUCUUGAGUACUGGAGAGGCAGACGGAAUUCGUGGUGUAGCGGUGAAAUGCGUAGAUAUUAGGAGGAACACCAGUGGCGAAGGCGGUCUGCUGGACAGCAACUGACGCUGAGGCGCGAAGGCGUGGGGAGCGAACAGGAUUAGAUACCCGAGUAGUC
Molecule: ribosomal RNA, 443 nt
Filed under: uncultured bacterium
Lineage: Bacteria
Description: partial 16S ribosomal RNA
Rfam family: Bacterial small subunit ribosomal RNA
Source: RNAcentral